Molecule: ribosomal RNA, 372 nt
Filed under: uncultured organism
Description: bacterial SSU rRNA
Rfam family: Bacterial small subunit ribosomal RNA
Source: RNAcentral
CGUAGGUGGCAAGCGUUGUCCGGAAUUACUGGGCGUAAAGGGCGCGUAGGCGGUACCCUAAGUUAGAUGUGAAAACCCGAAGCUUAACUUCGGACCUGCAUUUAAAACUGGGGAACUCGAGUGUCGGAGAGGAAAGCGGAAUUCCAAGUGUAGCGGUGAAAUGCGUAGAUAUUUGGAGGAACACCAGUGGCGAAGGCGGCUUUCUGGACGAUAACUGACGCUGAGGCGCGAAAGCGUGGGGAGCAAACAGGAUUAGAUACCCUGGUAGUCCACGCUGUAAACGAUGGAUACUAGGUGUGGGAGGUAUCGAACCCUUCCGUGCCGCAGUUAACGCAAUAAGUAUCCCGCCUGGGGAGUACGGCCGCAAGGUUG